GGGACACGUGGUAUCCUGUCUGAAUAUGGGGGGACCAUCCUCCAAGGCUAAAUACUCCUGACUGACCGAUAGUGAACCAGUACCGUGAGGGAAAGGCGAAAAGAACCCCGGCGAGGGGAGUGAAAAAGAACCUGAAACCGUGUACGUACAAGCAGUGGGAGCACCUUCGGGUGUGACUGCGUACCUUUUGUAUAAUGGGUCAGCGACUUAUAUUCUGUAGCAAGGUUAACCGUAUAGGGGAGCCGCAGGGAAACCGAGUCUUAACUGGGCGUUAAGUUGCAGGGUAUAGACCCGAAACCCGGUGAUCUAGCCAUGGGCAGGUUGAAGGUUGGGUAACACUAACUGGAGGACCGAACCGACUAAUGUUGAAAAAUUAGCGGAUGACUUGUGGCUGGGGGUGAAAGGCCAAUCAAACCGGGAGAUAGCUGGUUCUCCCCGAAAGCUAUUUAGGUAGCGCCUCGUGAAUUCAUCUUCGGGGGUAGAGCACUGUUUCGGCUAGGGGGUCAUCCCGACUUACCAACCCGAUGCAAACUACGAAUACCGAAGAAUGUUAUCACGGGAGACACACGGCGGGUGCUAACGUCCGUCGUGAAGAGGGAAACAACCCAGACCGCCAGCUAAGGUCCCAAAGUCAUGGUUAAGUGGGAAACGAUGUGGGAAGGCACAGACAGCCAGGAUGUUGGCUUAGAAGCAGCCAUCAUUUAAAGAAAGCGUAAUAGCUCACUGGUCGAGUCGGCCUGCGCGGAAGAUGUAACGGGGCUAAACCAUGCACCGAAGCUGCGGCAGCGACACUAUGUGUUGUUGGGUAGGGGAGCGUUCUGUAAGCCUGCGAAGGUGUGCUGUGAGGCAUGCUGGAGGUAUCAGAAGUGCGAAUGCUGACAUAAGUAACGAUAAAGCGGGUGAAAAGCCCGCUCGCCGGAAGACCAAGGGUUCCUGUCCAACGUUAAUCGGGGCAGGGUGAGUCGACCCCUAAGGCGAGGCCGAAAGGCGUAGUCGAUGGGAAACAGGUUAAUAUUCCUGUACUUGGUGUUACUGCGAAGGGGGGACGGAGAAGGCUAUGUUAGCCGGGCGACGGUUGUCCCGGUUUAAGCAUGUAGGCUGGUUGUCCAGGCAAAUCCGGAUAAUCAAGGCUGAGGUGUGAUGACGAGGCACUACGGUGCUGAAGUAACAAAUGCCCUGCUUCCAGGAAAAGCCUCUAAGCAUCAGGUAACAUCAAAUCGUACCCCAAACCGACACAGGUGGUCAGGUAGAGAAUACCAAGGCGCUUGAGAGAACUCGGGUGAAGGAACUAGGCAAAAUGGUGCCGUAACUUCGGGAGAAGGCACGCUGGUGUGUAGGUGAAGUCCCUGCGGAUGGAGCUGAGACCAGUCGAAGAUACCAGCUGGCUGCAACUGUUUAUUAAAAACACAGCACUGUGCAAACACGAAAGUGGACGUAUACGGUGUGACGCCUGCCCGGUGCCGGAAGGUUAAUUGAUGGGGUUAUCCGUAAGGAGAAGCUCUUGAUCGAAGCCCCGGUAAACGGCGGCCGUAACUAUAACGGUCCUAAGGUAGCGAAAUUCCUUGUCGGGUAAGUUCCGACCUGCACGAAUGGCGUAAUGAUGGCCAGGCUGUCUCCACCCGAGACUCAGUGAAAUUGAACUCGCUGUGAAGAUGCAGUGUACCCGCGGCAAGACGGAAAGACCCCGUGAACCUUUACUAUAGCUUGACACUGAACAUUGAGCCUUGAUGUGUAGGAUAGGUGGGAGGCUUUGAAGCGUGGACGCCAGUCUGCGUGGAGCCAACCUUGAAAUACCACCCUUUAAUGUUU
RNAcentral lists this ribosomal RNA (1809 nucleotides) under Klebsiella pneumoniae. Its description in RNAcentral is "partial 23S ribosomal RNA". It matches the Rfam family "Bacterial large subunit ribosomal RNA", at positions 419 to 2215 of the family's 2925-position model. Lineage: Bacteria; Pseudomonadati; Pseudomonadota; Gammaproteobacteria; Enterobacterales; Enterobacteriaceae. The record is from RNAcentral.